Molecule: ribosomal RNA, 251 nt
Filed under: uncultured bacterium
Lineage: Bacteria
Description: partial 16S ribosomal RNA
Rfam family: Bacterial small subunit ribosomal RNA
Source: RNAcentral
CUAGCCGUAAACGAUGGAUACUAGGUGUUAGUGGUAUCGACCCCACUAGUGCCGUAGCUAACGCAUUAAGUAUCCCGCCUGGGGAGUACGGCCGCAAGGUUGAAACUCAAAGGAAUUGACGGGGGCCCGCACAAGCGGUGGAGCAUGUGGUUUAAUUCGUCAUUAACCGAAGAACCUUACCAGGGUUUGACAUCUGUGGAAUCCGGAUGAAAGUCUGGAGUGCCUCGUAAGAGGAGCCGCAAGACAGGUGU